RNAcentral lists this ribosomal RNA (458 nucleotides) under uncultured bacterium. Its description in RNAcentral is "partial 16S ribosomal RNA". It matches the Rfam family "Bacterial small subunit ribosomal RNA", at positions 338 to 795 of the family's 1533-position model. The record is from RNAcentral.
CCUACGGGAGGCAGCAGUGGGGAAUAUUGCACAAUGGGGGAAACCCUGAUGCAGCGACGCCGCGUGAGUGAAGAAGUAAUUCGUUACGUAAAGCUCUAUCAGCAGGGAAGAAAUACUGACCUUACGGUCAGCAGACGGUACCUGAGUAAGAAGCCCCGGCUAACUACGUUCCAGCAGCCGCGGUAAUACGUAGGGGUCAAGCGUUAUCCGGAUUUACUGGGUGUAAAGGGAGCGUAGACGGUGCGCCAAGUCUGGAGUGAAAUCCCGGGGCUUAACCCCGGAACUGCUUUGGAAACUGGGCGGCUGGAGUGCAGGAGGGGUAGGCGGAAUGCAUAGUGUAGCGGUGAAAUGCGUAGAUAUUAGGAGGAACACCGGUGGCGAAGGCGGCUUACUGGGCUGUAACUGACGUUGAGGCUCGAAAGCGUGGGGAGCAAACAGGAUUCGAUACCCUUGUAGUC